This 480-nucleotide ribosomal RNA is filed under the name uncultured bacterium. RNAcentral's name for it is "bacterial SSU rRNA". It matches the Rfam family "Bacterial small subunit ribosomal RNA", at positions 107 to 620 of the family's 1533-position model. The record is from RNAcentral.
UGAGUAACGCGUGGGAACCUGCCCUGAAGUGGGGAAUAACGGCUGGAAACGGCCGCUAAUACCGCAUAUGCCCUGUGGGGCAAAGGCUUCGGCCGCUUUGGGAUGGUCCCGCGUCGGAUUAGCUAGUUGGUUGGGUAAUGGCUGACCAAGGCGACGAUCCGUAGCUGGUCUGAGAGGAUGAUCAGCCACACUGGGACUGAGACACGGCCCAGACUCCUACGGGAGGCAGCAGUGGGGAAUAUUGGACAAUGGGGGCAACCCUGAUCCAGCAAUGCCGCGUGUGUGAAGAAGGCCUUAGGGUUGUAAAGCACUUUCACCCGUGAAGAUGAUGACGGUAGCGGGAGAAGAAGCCCCGGCUAACUCCGUGCCAGCAGCCGCGGUAAUACGGAGGGGGCUAGCGUUGUUCGGAAUUACUGGGCGUAAAGCGCGCGUAGGCGGCGCAUCGAGUUAGGCGUGAAAGGCCUGGGCUUAACCUGGGAA